This 970-nucleotide long non-coding RNA is filed under the name Citrus sinensis (sweet orange). RNAcentral's name for it is "long non-coding RNA (CSIN_LNC000118)". Lineage: Eukaryota; Viridiplantae; Streptophyta; Magnoliopsida; Sapindales; Rutaceae. The record is from RNAcentral.
CCAUCUCCUUCCUAUAUCAAAAUUUAUCAUGAUAUAUGAAGUGAAUAUUGCAUUUAACAAAUGAAAUUGUUCUAAAAGUAAUAAAUUUAGACUUUUUAUAAUCUAAACAAAAUAAAAGGAUCAACAACCAUCAUGUAAAAAUAAAAAAUAAAAGUUGUUGUGAAAAAUUCUAUAUAUUUUUCUAGUCUUUUGGUUUGUUUGUUUGUGUCCUAGUCUUUUAGAGUGUAUCUCUUUGUUCAAGAUAUUUUUGGGCUAGUGCAGAUUUUUUGGUUUGUUGCUUGAUUCUAAGGGACGUUAUUCACUGUAUUUCCUAUACAAAAGUGAGUCAAAUUAAAGCUUAUCCUUUCUAUUCAGCAUAUUACCUCAUUAAAUUAUUUCUCUGCUUGUUAUUAAUAUGGUACACAUCCACAAUACUAUUUGUUCUAGCUUGUAUUGCUAUAGCAUUUACUAAUAGCAUCUGAGACUUUGUUCAACUAAUCAUACCAUGGUUUAAUGGUCACUAUUUAUGAUCAUUGGAGUAAGCUUAUGGAAAAAAAAUUUAGGUUAAAGGAGUACUGGCAGUGGCGGAACUUGAAAUAGCAGAACUUUCACAAGAAGUUGAGUUAGAUGCAAUAAGAACUAAGCAAUUAGAAGAAUUUCGGUUGAAAGAACAUAAGGUAGAAAAUUACCUCUUCCAGGCUACUGAUCGUUUAAUUCUGGAAAUUGUUCUCUGCAAGAAGACUUCUAAACAUAUUUGAAACUCCAUGAAAAGGAAGUACUAAGCCUCAGCAGGCAAAGAAGGCACAAUUACAAGCCUUUUCUUCAGACUUUGAGACACUUCGGAUGAAAUCGGGUGAAUCAAUUUCUAAUUAUCUUUGAAGAACUAUGGCUAUUACAAAUAAAUAACAUGUCUACGGAGAGCAAAUUGAUGAUUUAGCCAUAGUUGGAAAAGUUCUUAUGGAGUGUUUACUAAACAGCAACGGGAAUCAGA